RNAcentral lists this long non-coding RNA (275 nucleotides) under Brassica rapa (field mustard). RNAcentral describes it as "long non-coding RNA (BRAP_LNC002285)". Lineage: Eukaryota; Viridiplantae; Streptophyta; Magnoliopsida; Brassicales; Brassicaceae. The record is from RNAcentral.
CUUGUGUCGUAAGUACAUAUAUAUUAUACAUAGUACUACUAGGUAACAGGUAUCAGGUUCAGGUAUCCGUGACUACUUUACGGACAGAUUAUUUUAACAACUCCGAUGUGGAAGCACGAUAAUGUACACCUAACAGGAUAAUAUAGUGAACUAGUGUUAUUAUUUGUUUGAUACUAUUAUUAUCAUUUUUUUUUUUUAACACAACUUUCAUUCAUCUAACUUUCUUCAAUACAAACAUAAGAGGGAAUUAUCCAUCCUCUUAAAUCAAAAACAUA